CGAAGGGGGCUAGCGUUGCUCGGAAUCACUGGGCGUAAAGGGUGCGUAGGCGGGUCUUUAAGUCAGGGGUGAAAUCCUGGAGCUCAACUCCAGAACUGCCUUUGAUACUGAAGAUCUUGAGUUCGGGAGAGGUGAGUGGAACUGCGAGUGUAGAGGUGAAAUUCGUAGAUAUUCGCAAGAACACCAGUGGCGAAGGCGGCUCACUGGCCCGAUACUGACGCUGAGGCACGAAAGCGUGGGGAGCAAACAGGAUUAGAUACCCUGGUAGACCACGCCGUAAACGAUGAAUGCCAGCCGUUAGUGGGUUUACUCACUAGUGGCGCAGCUAACGCUUUAAGCAUUCCGCCUGGGGAGUACGGUCGCAAGAUUA
This 370-nucleotide ribosomal RNA is filed under the name uncultured organism. Its description in RNAcentral is "bacterial SSU rRNA". It matches the Rfam family "Bacterial small subunit ribosomal RNA", at positions 526 to 896 of the family's 1533-position model. The record is from RNAcentral.